CUGCUGUAGGCGCUCAUUUGUCCAUGGCGUAGCCAGGUGGACGUGCUUCAAAGAGCUGUGAGAAUCCAGGAAGACAUCUCACCUCAGAAGGGUGCAGCUGGGUUCUAUCCAUGUCAUCGACUUCUAGACUUACGACUAAGACCCGUGCUUUCUGUCACAACCACGAAGAGAAGGAUCCCCUAGAGGAAGAUUAGCCCUGAGCUAACUACUGCCAGUCCUCCUCUAUUUUCGCAGAGGAAGACUGGCCCUGAGCUAACAUCCAUGCCCAUCAUCCUCUACUUUAUAUGUGGGAUGUCUACCACAGCAUGGCGUGCCAAGCGGUGCCAUGUCCGCACCCAGGAUCCGAACCAGCGAACACUGGGCCGCCGAGAAGCGGGAAGUGCAAACUUAACCGCUGCACCACUGGGCUGUUCCCCCCAAGAAUUCUUUUUUCAAAGUUUCUUGGUGUGGCUCGUCACCCCUCCUCCGACUGGCCCUUCAUCUCUCUUGCUCUCCCUUGGGCCACUGGAUGUCAGCGAGAAGAGUCUAAUGAAGACUCCUCUUUUGACAAUGCGAGUCCCUGUGUGAAAGCCCCCGCUCACCAGCCUGCCUUCGCUUGACAAAUGAUGAAGAUAAUGAAAGUGAAGGUGCAGAGCGGAACGGCCAAGACAGUCUGGGCACGUCUCUCAUCACCACCUGUUUGUGCAGACAGAGAGCCCCCCGAGGAGUUUCAGGUGACCUCAGCCUUGCGAGGCGCAGAGAAGUCUGCAUUCCUAGGUCCUUCUGUUUGAGACUCUACUGAGAGGCUUCAGGCUGCACUGUGCACAACCUCUUACGGUCAGGCCCUGCAAGCUUAUGCUGCUUCACCUUCCCUUUGCAUACCGUGGAGGAAAAAUCAUAAUGCUCACUGUGGGCCAAAGCCUUUGUUAUGCUCAGGGCUUCGGAAGAUUGGAUUACUACAACACUACGGAAGAGAAAACUGAGGUUCACAGAGGCUAGCAACUCUCCAAGGCCCCACAGCAGAUAUCUCAUCUAGUCGGAACUUGCUCCUAGGCCUGUCUGGCUCUCAGCUGCCACACCACGCUGCCUCCCUUGAGGAAAGGAUGGUUGAUGUGGGAUAUGUUGGAACAAUGCAGCCUCCUGAAAUCAGCUUUGCCUUUAAAGACAGAAGUGACAGGGGCCAAAGAGUGCACAGGACUGGCUGGACAGGGUUAGGAGUCACAUGUGUCAGGUCCUAGUUGGACUGGACCACUCCCUGACCACAAGAGCUCUAGACAACCACUGGAACUUUCUGAGCUCACGUCCUCAUCUGGAAAUGGAGCAAACACCCUCUGCCCUUUCCACUUUACAGGAUGAUUCUGAAGGAGGUUUGUGGACUGAAAAGUACUUUAUGACUGUAAGGGCUUCCUGGAUGAGACAUUUUCAAAAAAGAGCUGUGAUUACAGGAGUAACGUAGGCAUAUUUUGUUUUCUUAUGAUAGGUCCCUGAUGUGUUUUUAGAUAUGUUAAACUUUCACAGAGUCUCAUCUUCAAAAACACAGUCCUGUAAGAUCCUAGGCUUUUUUAUGUCUGAGUUAUAACGAAUAAAUGAACACCAAUCCUUGUAGCGGGCAGAAGCAACUUCCUUGAAAGUCUUCUCGUGGUGGGUGUUCUGGCUCAAACGCUUCCCAGUCUGGUUAGAUAAAAAAAAUUUAGUAUGACCUUCUUUUGUAUUGUUUAUUGGCCAAUACGUUUCAUGCCUCAUUUGCCCUCAAAUUCACAUUUUUAUUCACCAGAGUAUUUGCUCUGCCUUUGUGUGUGCGUGUGUGUGUGUAUGCCUGUGCGUGUGUGUGCUCAUGUGCUCACUACACAGUCACAGAAAACCUUUGCACCUUAAACACUAGCCAGAUGAUAGGAUAUUUAUUUUUUAUUUUGCCAAACUAUGUGAUUUCUAUGCAUUGUUUUAAAACCAAAAGAGGAAAAGAAAAACGUUUAAGAAUUUUGCUUCAAAUGAGCAGCCUCUGACAUGCCUAAGAUGGCGAGGGUCAGUUUCUACUCCAUGCAAACCUUUUAAUUACAUGCAGCCUGAAUCGGGGCGGCCAUCUCUGACCUGGAGCCUCAGACCCAGUGUCCUGCCCUCUGAUGGCUGCCAUCCACCAGUGCCCAUCCUUGACGUGAGUCCCUAAUUCUGUCGUGCCCUCCCAGCAGGCGAGGGGGCUGGAGCCGGGCUGGUUUCCUUGCAAUUAAUGAACAGCAAGAGCGCAUAAUUAGGAAACUCCUAAGGAGGACUCCCCUUAUAGCGAGUGGCGAGUUCAGCUUCUCUCCCUCCUCUUGCCAGUUCCCAUCCCUACAGUCACAUCUCAUCGAGUUUGGGAAUUUUAUCAUUUUUAUUGGGACUCUUUUUCCUAGAGUUUAUUUUUACACUGCCAGAAGCUUUUUCAAAUUUUAACCUCGGGAGUGGAUCAUUAAGUUAAUCACACUUCUCUUGUUUUGUCUGUUCCUUCAUCCCCCUCUCUGAUUCCCUUGCAUGCCUUCACAGGUAACCAUUUCCACGUGUUUCUCCCGUGUGUGCGUGAGAGAGAGAUACUGUGAUCUUGUAAGUGGCCAGGAGCUUUCAUCACUGAUUCCUCCUCUGCACCGACUCGCUCAGGAGCCCUCAGUUCACCUUGGAUGUGUUUUUGUUCUGUGGCAAGAGAAUCACAUGUGUAUACACACGCGUCUGCCAUUUUCACCAGGAAAUGUGACCGGAGUUCUUAAAAAUUCUGUCUCAAUGAGUUUUUACUCAUCUCUCCUGAGAACUCACCCACCUGAUAGAAUUUUAAGCUUUAAAAGGUACUUCCUGUGAUUAUUCACUCAUUGAGGCAGAGGAGACUGAUGCCAAGAUGUGAUGGAACUGGGAGGUGGAGGGAACUGAGUGACGGUAGAUGAGGCUGGGAGAUGAGCCACCUGGGUCUGACACUAAGUCAGUUACUAGGCCCUUGAGCAAAUUUAUAAACCAAUCAAAGCCUCAGUUUUUUAGUCUGUGAAAUGGACUUAGUAUCUGCAUGUUAAUGUGGAGUUACAGUUAACGAAAUAAUGUAUUGACAAGCGCCAAGGUCAAUGCCUGGCGUGCACAAAAAGUCCAGUAGGUGUUGGUUGAAUCAGAGCAUCUUUCUUUGGAGUAAUUUGAAGUUCCCUGCUGAACUCAGGAGGAAGGCAGAGGUGCCAGGAGCAGCCAUGGGCCUGUUCAGAGCUAGCUAACAGAGGUUGACCAAAAGAAGACAUAGGCUGACAGAACAGCAACCAGGGCGACUGCAUUCACUUCGUGAGCCCGACUUCACUCUCUGCAUUUGAGAGAAAAUCACUACUGCACACCGUUCUUGUAGGACUGAACUGUGAUGACAUUCACUAAGAUCUGGAUACACGGAAGGCCGCCUCCUCAGCUGCUAAUGGGAGUCAUGCUGGAGGGACAGCGAGCAGCCGCCUCUGACAUUUAGAGAACUAGACCAGAUGCUUUUAGUAUAUUAAAAUCAGAUUUUUGAUUUAUAUUUAUGUAUGUUAUUAUCCUCUUUUUUCCUCUUAAUUUUGUUCUUUGUAUUUAUACAGCUGCAUUGUGCUCUGACCACGGUCACUGUGAUUAGCAAUAUUUAUUUAAAAUUAGGGAAUAUUUGGCUGUGAUUUCAUUUCCCCCUAUUUUCAGCUGCCAUCGAGUCAAAGGCCCUAGUGAUGUAGGCGGCCCAGGAAGAGGAUUGAACCCACGAGCGCUUGCUCAUUUGAGUAAGACUCUGCUCUCUAUUACUACUUCAAAAAGCGAACUUCCUGUUCUCUAGGGUUUGUGUCUGCAGGUGUGGAGGUAGCCUUUCUCCCUGCCCACUCCUUCACCCAGGGCAAGGACAGCCAUCACCAAACCCUUGAAGUCUUCAGAAACUCCAUCGUGGGAGGGGUGGGUCUUCUCCUGCUAGUCCACCCAUUCUGAUAAAGAAUUUCAAGGAAGAGCUUUCCCUGCUGCCUUUCCAGGGUCAGAUGACACUUGAGCGUCACGAGUGAGGUCUUAUCAUCUCCAAGGUGACAAGUUGGGAUGAAAUAUUCACCGGGCAGCUUUUGGAUGGCUUUCUAAUCACUUCUGGCUUGACACUUUGGAAAAUUAAAAAAUAAGAGGAGUUUCUUUUCAGGUUGAACAUUUACAGCCUUGCCAAAUUAUCCUGUUUCUGCUUCUGGCUUCCAAUAACAGCAGGCUUUGAUGUCAAAUGUCCACAGCGUGCUUGGGGCAUGAGUGUGGUCUGUCUCCUGUGACCAGGGGUCCCUGAGGCCCCCGGGUGGACUCUCUGAGACCUGGGCACAGGGCUCCCUUUGCGCUUCUUUCCUUUGGGGCAAUGAUUAGGUAUGUGGGUGAAUCAAUUUGGGCUGCUAGCCUGGGGUUGUUAAAAAGCAGGUGUUGAUCAUGGGAGUAAUUACCAAGGACUGCAUACCCCAAAUGAUUUACAAUCUGAGAUCUAAAGCAAAAAAUGAGUUCUCACACCUCAGAUCUGCUGCUUCGCUCCUUCUGCCUCAAACGUGCUGCCGAUGAUGAAUGCACCUCAAGUGCCUCACCUGCCGGGAGGCGUUCUGCCGCCUGGCCGGCCGUCAGGUAUCUCUCAUGAUCUACACAUAUGGCAGGCGCCACGUACUAAAUCCACACAAAGGGCCAUCCCCACCCUUCCCCAGCUCACAGUUUAUAAUGCUCAGUCUGAAAUGACCUUUAAAAAGCCAGAUAAUAUUUUAUUUACCUUUUUUCUUCCAUUUACUGUUAAAUGUUAAUGAAGGUAAGAGAUUCAAAUUCCUGCUAAUAAAACACUUUAAUUGACUCAAGUGUAACCAUAACUGUAAAUUGGCUACUUUGUACGAACGACCUUAGCGCUCCCUGCCCCCGACUCUCCCGCCCGUGCAAUUUUGGAAGUUGGCAGCAAACACAGGCUUUGUUCUUCCUGGGCUUCAUGCGCAGCCCCCCAACUCUCUGCUCCAAGACAGGCAAGCAGGAGCCACUUUGGAGCUCUCCUUUCUGUGGCAUUAACUACCCUUCACCCCUCCCACAGGCUCCCUCUAUUGAAAUCCUUCAGAUUCAAGGCCCAUUGUAAGCACCACCUCCUCCAGGAAGCCCAGUUCCCUCUCAUCUGCCUCCAAAGAGCCACAGCAUUUUGAGACUUUCCUUGUGAUGGUUCUCACUUUGCCUUUUGUUAUAGUAACUUCUGCAGCUGUCUUAUCUCCUUACUUGUUAGAAACCCGAUGCAUGGUCAGUGCUCAGCAAUAUCUAUUAAGUUGAAUUAACUGAUUUUUCUUCAAAAGAUUGGCACCUGAGCUAACAUCUGUUGCCAAUCUUCUUCUUCUCCCCAGAGCGCACCCAGUACAUAGUUGUAUAUUCUAGUUGUAGGUCCUUCUGGUUGUGGCAUGUGGGACGCUGCCUCAGCAUGGCCUGAUGAGCGGUGCCAUGUCUGCACCAGGAUCCGAACUGGUGAAACCCUGAGCCGCCGAAGCGGAGCGUGUGAACUUAACCACUCGGCCACUGGGCGGCCCCCCAGAAAAAAAUUUUUGUUGCCCUGUGCCAUACCAAUUCUCUAGGGCAUUCGCAAAACCAUUUAUUAAAUGCUCUUUGCCUGGAUUUCUUAGGCAAGUCCGCUCACUAUUCAAAACUUGUAAUAACUUGCUGCUUUAGAGAAAGAAUUUCAAAAAAGAAGAAAAUCUACACCUUGUAGUUAAAAAAAAAAAGUGAGAGGAGCCUCUGUAUGAUCUUAUGCAGGCUGAUGUGGUGUGGUCAGAGAAAGAACAGGCCAGGGGUUCUCUUUCUCUGGCUGCACCUCUAAGGGCAGAGGCUGCAAGCUUAGCUAUUCCUUUGCUCAGCGGAGCUCUGGUGGACCGCGCCCUCCCAGCACGUCAUCUGGACCAUAGUUGGGUGCGUCUGCAAUCCUCUUCCAACUCCAGACAGCUGCUGCUUUGAGGUGGUAGAUGGUCCGGCUCCUGGACAGCAGCAUCUGUCUCCAGUGAGCUCUGGGCUGCUGGUGGAAGAGGUGGCUUCAGCCAACGACAGUAUCUGAAGGAGACAGAAGAGCAGAGAGAUUAAGACAAUGGCCAUAUAGUUGCUGUGUGAUCUUGAAAUUUCUGAGGAAGCUGUUGCAAAUGGCUUGGGGGCUGUUCCUAAAAUAGAUUUGAGAGAUGAAAAAAUGAGAGAAUGCAUAGACAAUCUGAGACAAAUGAUCAGCUCUGAUACCGACACUGAGAUUGUAAGAUGACUGCUGUGCCUUGCCAGAAAUGAAUAUUCAGGACGCCCCUGCUGGGUGCCUUUUCCUAUUUGAACCAACUACUCUUUGGGCCAUGAUUCACUUGUUAGCAAAUUAAACACUCUUUGCACACAGCAGAGCAACUUUACGAAGUCGGAUUUUGAAGUGCAAACAUCUUUUCUGCUCUGGCCACGGAACCUGUCACAAUCUUCAUCGGGAACUGAAUUAAGUUUAAAAUAUCAUCAGAGGGUGUUGAUCUCUCUUGGGCCUGGAGCUGUCCUCUGUACAUCCGGCAUUUUUCUGUUGACACUGCAUAUCACUUAGCAACAGGCCUGAAAGGCCCUAUAUGCAUUGAUUGCACACUAUUGUCUUUAAAGGGUGGAAGUGUUAACUGAAUAAACCCCCCGGGUGACCGCACGGUCAUUCCUCUCAAGUUGAUAAUGUGUUUACAUCAAAAUAUUGUUUAUUCCAUUCUCUGAUCUCCUGAUUUUUGCAUCUCUGGCUGAAGGAAUACAGUUAAUUCCCUACAUGGUGGAGAACCCAAAUCUACUCUCCUGACACGGACCGAUGAGAAUGGUUUUCUUCCUACUUCUCCUGAUAAAGCAUUAAAUGCAUUUGACAGCUAACUGCAGACGAUAACGCCAACUUUCUCUUGUGGUUCUCAGAGGAUGGAGAAGUUACAAGCCUGCAAUUGCCCCAUAAAGAGAAAAUAUUCCCUUUGGUCUGUGAAUGGUUCUGAAAUAAACGGCAGGAUAUGUUACAUGGCCGCGAAGAUGUUAAGGCUUUAAAAUGGAUGGCGGGCUCUGACAUCAUCUGAAUGAGAAGGAAAUAUGGCCUAACCAAGGGGUGUUUUCAGAAUGAAUAAAAUUUCAAAGUGGAAAUUCUUGCUUGAGAGGCAAGAGGAGAACACAUUUUUGCAUCAAUAGCCAUGGCUGAAGCAAUAGACUAGACCAGUGGGUCAAACAGGCAUUUUAGCUCAGACCUCUCCCUUUUACAAUGAUGUAUUUCAGAGACCUUCCACCGAGACAGCGUUCUCACAAACGUCUCAGACAAUGAGGGCAUGUCAGCUGAGGGAUUGUACAUGUAGGCAAAGACCAGAUUUGUGGGUUUGGCGCCCACCUGCGUCAAAUCAUGUAGUGGAGACAAAGUGUGGCUACCUGCUCUCCAGCUUCUAGUUUUGAGAAAUCUGUUUUGCUCCUUUGUGAGUUUCCACCAUACUACAUCAAGCUGAAAACGGAGAAAGAUAGAUCAAUAUGUCUUGAGAAAUAUGCCAACAAGGCAAGCGACUUCAAAAUCGACCUACUGAUUAUAUUGCCUUGGCAUGACUUUCUAUCUGGUAUAAUAGUGCCAAAACGUUCUUUGGUAAAUGUUAAAGUUUUUUCUUUCCACAGUCCUCCUCAUCAAAUAGGAAACCUACUUAAAAUUAAGAAUCAAAUUCUAUUAAUGUUUCCCCUUUGAUAAAAGCCUCAGGCCUUGACUCCAUGCCUUGAUAGAAAGAAAAAUGCAAUCCCGGACUUUUGGACAUAGAUCCAUAUGAGUAGGGAGAUGAGAAUGAAAGGGGAAAAGAUGGAAACCGCCAUGGAUAUUCUCGUUAGCCAGGAGGAGGUGCGGGAAUACCUUCAUUAUUAGAAGUAAAAAUAUUUUAAACUAAUGUACAAGUUUUUAAGUGACACCCAUCUCCUUCUGCACCCCUGUGUCCCGGAAAUGUCUCGUAUCCUCUCUGCAGGUCUAGUCACCUUGGCCUGGUUCAGCUACUGAGCAAUCUUACUUCUAUAAACAUUUCACUGCUACCAGUUGGAUUUUUCACAGCAUUAACUUUAACUACAUGGGUGUUUGUAAUGGAAUAAAAUUUUA
This 8041-nucleotide long non-coding RNA is filed under the name Equus caballus (horse). RNAcentral's name for it is "lncRNA (ENSECAG00000035269.2)". Lineage: Eukaryota; Metazoa; Chordata; Mammalia; Perissodactyla; Equidae. The record is from RNAcentral.